GCGCCCGUAGCUCAGGGGAUAGAGCACCGGUCUCCGGAACCGGGAGCGCAGGUUCGAUUCCUGCCGGGCGCACCA
Molecule: transfer RNA, 75 nt
Filed under: Sporomusa termitida
Lineage: Bacteria; Bacillati; Bacillota; Negativicutes; Selenomonadales; Sporomusaceae
Also listed under: 6 other names
Description: tRNA-Arg
Rfam family: tRNA
About the family: Transfer RNA (tRNA) molecules are approximately 80 nucleotides in length. Their secondary structure includes four short double-helical elements and three loops (D, anti-codon, and T loops).
Source: RNAcentral